GACCUCGGAUCAGGUAGGGAUACCCGCUGAACUUAAGCAUAUCAAUAAGCGAGAGGUCAAAGGGCUU
This 67-nucleotide ribosomal RNA is filed under the name Ophiocordyceps sinensis. RNAcentral's name for it is "partial 28S ribosomal RNA". The record is from RNAcentral. Lineage: Eukaryota; Fungi; Ascomycota; Sordariomycetes; Hypocreales; Ophiocordycipitaceae.